Molecule: long non-coding RNA, 1806 nt
Organism: Cornus florida
Lineage: Eukaryota; Viridiplantae; Streptophyta; Magnoliopsida; Cornales; Cornaceae
Exons: 5
Source: RefSeq, a predicted model, not a curated record
UUUUCCCUAUUAUAUGCUUUUCAUUCACAAGAUUCCUGUAAACCCUAACCCUCACCAUCUACCCCAACAUAGUCUUCGCUACCACCCAUUUCAAUGGCUUCCCUUUCAACCACUUUUCACCCACUGAAUAAAGUAACCCAUAUCUGUCACCUGUUCGACAACGUUCGUGAUCGCCCAACCUCAAGCUCCCAAUCCAUGGAUAGGCCUUCAAUUUUGCUGGCUGAAAACGUGUUCAAGAUGGCCGAAUUUGAGCUCCAUCAAUUAGCAUGGCCGAAUCUGAGUUGCAUGUGGACUCUGGAGGUACGUUUUAAUUUGUUUUAUAGUUGUAAAACCCUAGAUUGUCAAAGAAAGCCCCCCUAAUUAUACAUCUUGUCAUAUAUUUAAAUCUGCAAUUUUGAUGUUCUCUAUCUCCCUAUCUUCCCCCAUUACCGAAGCCCUACUUCUCAAUACAUAGUCUACCUAUGGCUGCCCCAAAUCUUAUGUUUUCAAGUCUUUCUCUUGCCUACGCAUUUUAAUUGAUUCCACUUUUCUCCUCAAUCAAUCAGCGAACUAGAAAGCGAGGAAAUCGUUCACACAUAAUCGCUUAUAUAGAAGUCAGAAUUUCAACUAGUUACGAAUCUCUAAGUUGCCUUUCCCCUCUGUCCAUUCUCAUUGAUUCAUUCCAUUCAAGAAGAACGGGCAAUCCAUCAAAGCUAAAAUAGCGCACUAGAGCAUAGAUUAGAGUAGAUUUGACUAUGAGUAAUUUAAUAUGUAUAUAUAUUUUGAGUAUAAAUCCAAUGUGUUCUUUUAAGUAUUAAAAGGUUUUUUGCUCAACAAAAUUAUCCAUUAUCAUUUUUGUUUUAGAUUUAGCUAGUGAUGAACUAGGCCAUAAGUGGAAAAUAAAUAGUUAUCCAAUUGGUUAAAGUAGUAUUAUUAAUUGAGCCAUUUAGAUUGUAUGCUCAAGCCAAUUUUGUUAGUGGGUAUUAAGUCUUUUAAUAUACAAGAGUGGGAGUGGGAAUACCCUCUACCCAAACUUAGUUAAAUUAUUAUUAUUAUUAUAUUGAAACUUCUCUCAUGUGACCUUACAUAUAGUUUGUGAAAUGUCACAUAUGGUGUGUGAUGAUGACUGAUACUCACUAUGAUAAGGUACAUUGGUAUUUCUUACGCUUCUUAAUAGUUUAACUUAUUUUUAUUGCAUUUACUCUCUUCUUCUUUUUUUUCUAGGAUGGAGCAAGGGAACACUUUGAUGCCUAUUGAAGGUCUCAAAAUACAUUGUUCUAAUCUACAGAUGUGGUAGCAUGGGUUUGGUUUCACAAGUUAGUUCAUAAUGGUGGUUAACUGUUAUUGGGAAAUUCAGUUGGUGCUAAGUGAAAUUCAAUGUGAACAAUGGACAGCCCUAACAAUGAGCUUCUGGAGUGACUUGGUGUGGAAUUAUUGUAUUCAAAGGCGAAAUGCAUAAAGUCAUAAACAGUUUGAAGAAUGACUACCUUUCAUGAAAUUCAGUUGGUGCCAAGUAAAAUUCAAUGCGAGCAAUGGACAGCCCUAACAAUGAGCUUCUGGAGUGACUUGGUGUGGAAUUACUGUAUUCAAAGGCGAAGUGCAUAAAGUCAUAAACAGUUUGAAGAAUUUUAAGAUUUUAGAGGACUAGUAUGAAGGCAUGAGAGUUCUUUUGUGCGUGUGUGUGUGUGUUUUUUUUUUUUUUUAGGAAUGAGAGUUUAUUUUUUACUUGUUAGUAUGAAUUUGUAUUGUACAAUUGGGUAGUUCUCUUUUGUAAUCAAAUCGAAUAUUGUAAUACAAUUUUGUAAUGAUAUUUGAUGUUUUAUUCAA